AAAAAGCAGCACUGCGCGCUGUUCGGCCGCUUUCCUGCAGUACACGACGAGUUAUUCUCCCGGAUCUGCACCAGCAGCUGGCCAGGUUUUUGACCUCCUUGUGGUGCUUGCUGAAAAAUGAUAAAGAUGUUUAAUUUGAUGCAAUCCUCUUAUCAACCUGGUGUGCUGUGGGUGUUUUGGAGCCUGGUUCCAGUGACUGUAGUUUGUCGAUGAUGGUGUAAAUUGAAACUUAAGCCAAGCUUUGAGCAGUGAUGUAUGUGCCCUUAUCUCAGAAAGAGGAUGCCUUCAAAUGGGGAUUUAUCAUCCCACCUAAGCUUAGAUGUUUGACUACCUAAAGUUGUCUCCUGAGGCUUCUCUUGAAUGCCAGUGUCAUGGAUUGCAUUCUUCUAGAAUAACAAGCUUGGAUUGUCUACACUUGGUUUUUAGGGCUGGUCCUGCAGGUUGAAGUCUUAACAGCUGGUGCUGGACAAACUGGUCAUUCUUUGGCGCAGACUUCCAUGAUCAGGAUUACAAGCCUGUUAAUGAAGAUACUAGAGCUAACCUUGAAUAAGGUUUAGCUCUGUUUGCGGGUCUGAUCCCCUCGGUGCUGGUGGCCAUUAAUGUAUGUCUG
Clarias gariepinus (North African catfish) is the source of this 610-nucleotide long non-coding RNA. RefSeq lists it as uncharacterized. The record is from RefSeq and is a predicted model, not a curated record. NCBI's taxonomy places the organism in Eukaryota, Metazoa, Chordata, Actinopteri, Siluriformes, Clariidae. The transcript is spliced from 14 exons.